This 206-nucleotide ribosomal RNA is filed under the name uncultured bacterium. RNAcentral's name for it is "partial 16S ribosomal RNA". It matches the Rfam family "Bacterial small subunit ribosomal RNA", at positions 1296 to 1500 of the family's 1533-position model. The record is from RNAcentral.
GAUUGCAGUCUGCAACUCGACUGCAUGAAGCCGGAAUCGCUAGUAAUCGCGGAUCAGAAUGCCGCGGUGAAUACGUUCCCGGGUCUUGUACACACCGCCCGUCACACCAUGGGAGUCGGAAAUGCCCGAAGCCGGUGGCCUAACCGAUAAGGGAGGAGCCGUCGAAGGCAGGUCUGAUGACUGGGGUGAAGUCGUAACAAGGUAUC